UGUUGCCAAGGAUUGAACCCAGGUCACCCACGUGAUAGGUGGGAAUACUUACUACUAUACUAAAAGAUUAUAGAUAUGCUCAACUUAUACCUCAAUUUAGUGCAAGAUUGUAGACAUUCUUCUCAGAGAGAGAUGUAUGCACCAUCUCCAUCCUACUAGGAGUAUAAUUGUUCUUUAUGCGGUGAUCGAGAUAGACAUUAGAUUGAUUGCCUAAAUGCCCCCUCCCCC
This 228-nucleotide long non-coding RNA is filed under the name Capsicum annuum. RNAcentral describes it as "long non-coding RNA (CANN_LNC017537)". Lineage: Eukaryota; Viridiplantae; Streptophyta; Magnoliopsida; Solanales; Solanaceae. The record is from RNAcentral.